GUUUUCUACUCCCACCCCCCAAUGUUGUUUUUUUUUUAAUUAAAACAUAUUUUUAUUUUAAAAAAAAUUUGAUUGAAGGUUUUAAAAAAGAAAAAAAAAAAGGUUUCUUCAUUCUCUGCUAGGGCUUCAUUUGCAUGCCCCAAUGGUUGCCGCAGCACCAACGCCACUUUCGGUGGCCAAUGACGCCGAGAAAUGAGUCUUUCAACCCCGAUCCAAGGCUGUAUUCUGAUCGUGAAGACGUGAAGCGGAGCGCACAGACGUGGGGCGUGCAAUAAGCGAGCUGGGGGCCGUGCUUGAUGUGCCGACGUGCGUAGUGGCUGUGGCGCAAGGCAAAUAGAACUCUAGGGCUUGCUGUUUCUGAAAACGAUUUGGGCCAUUGGGCUUGUGUAACCAAGUAUUGGGCCAUUGCAAAGUUUUUGGCCUGGUGUAAUUAGAUUUGGACUGUUGUUUUGUUUUAUUUUUCUGUAUAUGUAUGGGCCCGGGCUAAAAAUUGAGUCUACAGGGGUCAUUUGUAUUUUAAGUUUACGUUUUCAGGUUAGGUCAUUAUAAGUUUUAGUUAUUAUGUGUUUGAAGUGUUCCAAAUUCUAGUCUGUUAAAAUACGUCUGUCUCUGUACUCAGACAAAAUUUGAAAUUUAAUCUUUGUACUUAAAAAUAUCAAAA
Long non-coding RNA from Gossypium arboreum, 661 nucleotides. RefSeq lists it as uncharacterized. The transcript is spliced from 2 exons. The record is from RefSeq and is a predicted model, not a curated record. Lineage: Eukaryota; Viridiplantae; Streptophyta; Magnoliopsida; Malvales; Malvaceae.